UAGAGUUUGAUCCUGGCUCAGGAUAAACGCUGGCGGCGUGCAUGAGACAUGCAAGUCGAACGAACGAGCUUGCUCGUUAGUGGCGGACGGCUGAGUAACGCGUAGGUGACCUGCCCCGAAGUGGGGGAUAACUGCCCGAAAGGGUGGCUAAUACCGCAUGUGGCGACGCUUUCAUUGGCGUCAUCAAAGCCGCGAGGCGCUUCGGGAGGGGCCUGCGUCCGAUUAGCUCGUUGGUGGGGUAAUGGCUCACCAAGGCGACGAUCGGUAGGUGGUCUGAGAGGACGAUCACCCAGACUGGGACUGAGACACGGCCCAGACUCCUACGGGAGGCAGCAGUCGGGAAUUUUGCUCAAUGGGCGCAAGCCUGAAGCAGCAACGCCGCGUGAGGGAUGAAGGCCUUCGGGUUGUAAACCUCUUUUUCCAGGGACGAUGAUGACGGUACCUGAAGAAUAAGUCACGGCUAACUACGUGCCAGCAGCCGCGGUAAUACA
This 491-nucleotide ribosomal RNA is filed under the name uncultured soil bacterium. Its description in RNAcentral is "bacterial SSU rRNA". It matches the Rfam family "Bacterial small subunit ribosomal RNA", at positions 1 to 527 of the family's 1533-position model. The record is from RNAcentral.